Molecule: long non-coding RNA, 444 nt
Organism: Musa acuminata AAA Group (dessert banana)
Lineage: Eukaryota; Viridiplantae; Streptophyta; Magnoliopsida; Zingiberales; Musaceae
Exons: 4
Source: RefSeq, a predicted model, not a curated record
AGGAAUUCAAACAAUACAGGCAGUAGAGCUUGCAGAGAGACUGCAUCAUUUUCUCAUACAACUAGAACUGGUGGAAGCAUAGAACUAAAAAAGGAGAAAUCAUUUGAAUCGAAGAAAUUGCAUCAAAGCUAUCAUUUUAAAGCUAGGUCAUUGCCAGAAUUCUAUCGAAAUGCUGAACCAAAUAAGAAGGAAAGGACGGAGAAAACAGCUGAAAGUGAACAAAAUAAAUUGCAGCACACCCAUUGUUUCAAAGCCAGACCAUUGCCAGAAUUCUAUCAUAAUAUUAAUCCCACAAAGUCUGGGGUGAAGAUUUCAUUGGAAAAACCUCAUUCCUGAGCUUGCAAGGAUCACUAAGUCAGAAGCCAGCUCAUAUCAGAACUCUCUUUUGAACUAUAAAACUUUUUAAUAUCAAUGGUCCUACAAAUGAUAAACCUUACCGUAAAA